AGCACGGGAGCAAUCCUGGUGGCGAGUGGCGAACGGGUGAGUAAUGUAUCGGAACGUACCUUUCAGUGGGGGAUAACGUAGCGAAAGUUACGCUAAUACCGCAUAUUCUGUGAGCAGGAAAGCAGGGGAUCGCAAGACCUUGCGCUGAUUGAGCGGCCGAUAUCAGAUUAGCUAGUUGGUGAGGUAAAGGCUCACCAAGGCGACGAUCUGUAGCGGGUCUGAGAGGAUGAUCCGCCACACUGGAACUGAGACACGGUCCAGACUCCUACGGGAGGCAGCAGUGGGGAAUUUUGGACAAUGGGCGCAAGCCUGAUCCAGCCAUGCCGCGUGAGUGAAGAAGGCCUUCGGGUUGUAAAGCUCUUUCAGCCGGGAAGAAAACGCAUGGGUUAAUACCCUGUGUGGAUGACGGUACCGGAAUAAGAAGCACCGGCUAACUACGUGCCAGCAGCCGCGGUAAUACGUAGGGUGCGAGCGUUAAUCGGAAUUACUGGGCGUAAAGCGUGCGCAGGCGGUUUGUUAAGAUAGGCGUGAAAUCCCCGGGCUCAACCUGGGAACUGCGUUUAUGACUGGCAGGCUAGAGUAUGGCAGAGGGGGGUGGAAUUCCACGUGUAGCAGUGAAAUGCGUAGAGAUGUGGAGGAACACCGAUGGCGAAGGCAGCCCCCUGGGCCAAUACUGACGCUCAUGCACGAAAGC
This 694-nucleotide ribosomal RNA is filed under the name uncultured bacterium. RNAcentral's name for it is "bacterial SSU rRNA". It matches the Rfam family "Bacterial small subunit ribosomal RNA", at positions 71 to 760 of the family's 1533-position model. The record is from RNAcentral.